RNAcentral lists this ribosomal RNA (779 nucleotides) under Enterococcus faecalis. RNAcentral describes it as "bacterial SSU rRNA". It matches the Rfam family "Bacterial small subunit ribosomal RNA", at positions 218 to 988 of the family's 1533-position model. The record is from RNAcentral. Lineage: Bacteria; Bacillati; Bacillota; Bacilli; Lactobacillales; Enterococcaceae.
CUGAUGGAUGGACCCGCGGUGCAUUAGCUAGUUGGUGAGGUAACGGCUCACCAAGGCCACGAUGCAUAGCCGACCUGAGAGGGUGAUCGGCCACACUGGGACUGAGACACGGCCCAGACUCCUACGGGAGGCAGCAGUAGGGAAUCUUCGGCAAUGGACGAAAGUCUGACCGAGCAACGCCGCGUGAGUGAAGAAGGUUUUCGGAUCGUAAAACUCUGUUGUUAGAGAAGAACAAGGACGUUAGUAACUGAACGUCCCCUGACGGUAUCUAACCAGAAAGCCACGGCUAACUACGUGCCAGCAGCCGCGGUAAUACGUAGGUGGCAAGCGUUGUCCGGAUUUAUUGGGCGUAAAGCGAGCGCAGGCGGUUUCUUAAGUCUGAUGUGAAAGCCCCCGGCUCAACCGGGGAGGGUCAUUGGAAACUGGGAGACUUGAGUGCAGAAGAGGAGAGUGGAAUUCCAUGUGUAGCGGUGAAAUGCGUAGAUAUAUGGAGGAACACCAGUGGCGAAGGCGGCUCUCUGGUCUGUAACUGACGCUGAGGCUCGAAAGCGUGUGGAGCAAACAGGAUUAGAUACACUGGUAGUCCACGCCGUAAACGAUGAGUGCUAACUGUUGGAGGGUUUCCGCCCUUCAGUGCUGCAGCAAACACAUUAAGCACUCCGCCUGGGGAGUACGACCGCAAGGUUGAAACUCAAAGGAAUUGACGGUGGCCCGCACAAACGGUGGAGCAUGUGGUUUAAUUCAAAGCAACGCGAAGAACCUUACCAGGUCUUGACAUC